GAGGGUGAUCGGCCACAUUGGAACUGAGACACGGUCCAAACUCCUACGGGAGGCAGCAGUGGGGAAUAUUGCACAAUGGGCGAAAGCCUGAUGCAGCAACGCCGCGUGAGUGAUGAAGGCCUUCGGGUCGUAAAACUCUGUCCUCAAGGAAGAUAAUGACGGUACUUGAGGAGGAAGCCCCGGCUAACUACGUGCCAGCAGCCGCGGUAAUACGUAGGGGGCUAGCGUUAUCCGGAUUUACUGGGCGUAAAGGGUGCGUAGGCGGUCUUUCAAGUCAGGAGUGAAAGGCUACGGCUCAACCGUAGUAAGCUCUUGAAACUGGGAGACUUGAGUGCAGGAGAGGAGAGUGGAAUUCCUAGUGUAGCGGUGAAAUGCGUAGAUAUUAGGAGGAACACCAGUUGCGAAGGCGGCUCUCUGGACUGUAACUGACGCUGAGGCACGAAAGCGUGGGGAGCAAACAGGAUUAGAUACCCUGGUAGUCCACGCUGUAAACGAUGAGUACUAGGUGUCGGGGGUUACCCCCUUCGGUGCCGCAGCUAACGCAUUAAGUACUCCGCCUGGGAAGUACGCUCGCAAGAGUGAAACUCAAAGGAAUGGACGGGGACCCGCACAAGUAGCGGAGCAUGUGGUUUAAUUCGAAGCAACGCGAAG
This 651-nucleotide ribosomal RNA is filed under the name Clostridioides difficile. RNAcentral describes it as "bacterial SSU rRNA". It matches the Rfam family "Bacterial small subunit ribosomal RNA", at positions 296 to 966 of the family's 1533-position model. Lineage: Bacteria; Bacillati; Bacillota; Clostridia; Peptostreptococcales; Peptostreptococcaceae. The record is from RNAcentral.